UCACAAUAUCAAGCUUGGCUUGUUGUUGGGCCCUUUUGUCACCUGGUGACAGGUCCAAAAGACAAUAACCGGUGUCAUACAGACUCUAUAUGCAACGAGCUUAUCACAGCACGCAUCUUGUGGUCGUGUGGCCUGGUUUUCACUUUGAUAAACAUAUAUUUCUCAA
RNAcentral lists this unclassified non-coding RNA (166 nucleotides) under uncultured Chaetothyriales. RNAcentral describes it as "sequence contains ITS2". Lineage: Eukaryota; Fungi; Ascomycota; Eurotiomycetes; Chaetothyriales. The record is from RNAcentral.